GUAUUUGUCUGGGGAUGGCUGUGCAUACAGAACACCAUUAGCUCCAUGAAGAAUAUGACAGAGGUACCUGGUCCUACCUGGAUUCUUGGGCAUGCGGGAAGCAGCAGCAGUAGCCACAGUGAACUUCAUCCUAAGGAACUGUUAUGCAGACGUUGCAUGAGUCUCUUGUGGGGGUGCCAGCAAAACCAAGCCUUUGUGCCUAUCUGUGGUUGUGACCCGUUGGAGAGACAUUGGGAGAUGAGAUACUGUGCUCACUCCUCACGGCUGAACCAAGGACCUGAGAUAUUCCAUUGCUAUCCUGCCUCCCAUCAGCACCAUGAGGGGGAUGCUCUUAGCAUUUUCAUUUUACAGAUGAAGACACUGAGCCUUAGCCAGAUGAAGAGGCUUCUCCGGCUGAGUAGUGUAGGCAGUACUUCCUUUGCAGCCUAGGUUCCUGAUCACAUUUCCUUUCACCUGGAUGGAGGUGAGUCAAACUGCCUCUGACUGCGUCCAGCUUCCUGUUGGGCUUUGCCAUUGGGGGCACCAAAGAAGAUCAGAGGGUCAGAGAGAAAGGGUUUGCAAAUUUGCAAAUAUGCCAAAUUUCUAUAUUUUGUAUAAUUCACAGGCUGGCAUUUCCAGUGAAAUAUUGGAGCUAUCCUGUAUUUCUUUAGGUUAGAAAUAUUAUUGAAACAAGAAACUGU
Molecule: long non-coding RNA, 680 nt
Filed under: Callithrix jacchus (white-tufted-ear marmoset)
Lineage: Eukaryota; Metazoa; Chordata; Mammalia; Primates; Cebidae
Description: lncRNA (ENSCJAG00000058763.2)
Source: RNAcentral